CCUACGGGAGGCAGCAGUGGGGAAUAUUGGACAAUGGGCGCAAGCCUGAUCCAGCCAUGCCGCGUGAGUGAUGAAGGCCCUAGGGUUGUAAAGCUCUUUCACCGGUGAAGAUAAUGACGGUAACCGGAGAAGAAGCCCCGGCUAACUUCGUGCCAGCAGCCGCGGUAAUACGAAGGGGGCUAGCGUUGUUCGGAUUUACUGGGCGUAAAGCACACGUAGGCGGACUAUUAAGUCAGGGGUGAAAUCCCGGGGCUCAACCCCGGAACUGCCUUUGAUACUGGUAGUCUAGAGUUCGAGAGAGGUGAGUGGAAUUCCGAGUGUAGAGGUAAAAUUCGUAGAUAUUCGGAGGAACACCAGUGGCGAAGGCGGCUCCCUGGCUCGAUACUGACGCUGAGGAACGAGAGCCAGGGGAGCGAACGGGAUUAGAUCCCCGG
This 434-nucleotide ribosomal RNA is filed under the name uncultured Phyllobacteriaceae bacterium. RNAcentral describes it as "partial 16S ribosomal RNA". It matches the Rfam family "Bacterial small subunit ribosomal RNA", at positions 338 to 790 of the family's 1533-position model. Lineage: Bacteria; Pseudomonadati; Pseudomonadota; Alphaproteobacteria; Hyphomicrobiales; Phyllobacteriaceae. The record is from RNAcentral.